UCAAAGAAAAAUGGAAGAUAUAAUUUAUUUUGAUGACGAAUCCCAGGUUAAGGAGGUUUCAAAUGGGCAAUCCCAACAAUGGCCGCAAACCUCGUUUCAUACAUCGGAAGUGCAUACAUAUUCGCUCCCUACCCGGAAAACUUUUGUGACCACGCCCUUUAAAAAAAGGCAACUUGUUUAAACAGCGACAGACAGAUGAACAAGAGGAAAACAACAAAAACGCAGCUUCCAUCAACAUCACUGAACAAAUCAUUAAAAACCAGCAAGAAAUAUUGGCUAGGCUCGACCAUUUGGAAAAUUCAUUUGAUAAAAAUGUAUGUAUGUAUAAACUUUAUAUCUCGUCGCUUAGCGCGCAAUACCUCGUAUCCGCCAAAUGCAAUACCACGUAUAAAAUGCUCAUA
Molecule: long non-coding RNA, 401 nt
Organism: Rhagoletis pomonella (apple maggot)
Lineage: Eukaryota; Metazoa; Arthropoda; Insecta; Diptera; Tephritidae
Exons: 3
Source: RefSeq, a predicted model, not a curated record